UAGUGAACCAGUACCGUGAGGGAAAGGCGAAAAGAACCCCGGCGAGGGGAGUGAAAAAGAACCUGAAACCGUGUACGUACAAGCAGUGGGAGCACCCUUUGGGGUGUGACUGCGUACCUUUUGUAUAAUGGGUCAGCGACUUAUAUUCUGUAGCAAGGUUAACCGUAUAGGGGAGCCGGAGGGAAACCGAGUCUUAACCGGGCGUUAAGUUGCAGGGUAUAGACCCGAAACCCGGUGAUCUAGCCAUGGGCAGGUUGAA
Molecule: ribosomal RNA, 259 nt
Filed under: Salmonella enterica subsp. enterica
Lineage: Bacteria; Pseudomonadati; Pseudomonadota; Gammaproteobacteria; Enterobacterales; Enterobacteriaceae
Description: partial 23S ribosomal RNA
Rfam family: Bacterial large subunit ribosomal RNA
Source: RNAcentral